RNAcentral lists this ribosomal RNA (913 nucleotides) under Pseudomonas sp. Its description in RNAcentral is "bacterial SSU rRNA". It matches the Rfam family "Bacterial small subunit ribosomal RNA", at positions 8 to 916 of the family's 1533-position model. The record is from RNAcentral. Lineage: Bacteria; Pseudomonadati; Pseudomonadota; Gammaproteobacteria; Pseudomonadales; Pseudomonadaceae.
AGAGUUUGAUCCUGGCUCAGAUUGAACGCUGGCGGCAGGCCUAACACAUGCAAGUCGAGCGGCAGCACGGGUACUUGUACCUGGUGGCGAGCGGCGGACGGGUGAGUAAUGCCUAGGAAUCUGCCUGGUAGUGGGGGAUAACGCUCGGAAACGGACGCUAAUACCGCAUACGUCCUACGGGAGAAAGCAGGGGACCUUCGGGCCUUGCGCUAUCAGAUGAGCCUAGGUCGGAUUAGCUAGUUGGUGAGGUAAUGGCUCACCAAGGCGACGAUCCGUAACUGGUCUGAGAGGAUGAUCAGUCACACUGGAACUGAGACACGGUCCAGACUCCUACGGGAGGCAGCAGUGGGGAAUAUUGGACAAUGGGCGAAAGCCUGAUCCAGCCAUGCCGCGUGUGUGAAGAAGGUCUUCGGAUUGUAAAGCACUUUAAGUUGGGAGGAAGGGCAGUUACCUAAUACGUAAUUGUUUUGACGUUACCGACAGAAUAAGCACCGGCUAACUCUGUGCCAGCAGCCGCGGUAAUACAGAGGGUGCAAGCGUUAAUCGGAAUUACUGGGCGUAAAGCGCGCGUAGGUGGUUCGUUAAGUUGGAUGUGAAAUCCCCGGGCUCAACCUGGGAACUGCAUUCAAAACUGACGAGCUAGAGUAUGGUAGAGGGUGGUGGAAUUUCCUGUGUAGCGGUGAAAUGCGUAGAUAUAGGAAGGAACACCAGUGGCGAAGGCGACCACCUGGACUGAUACUGACACUGAGGUGCGAAAGCGUGGGGAGCAAACAGGAUUAGAUACCCUGGUAGUCCACGCCGUAAACGAUGUCAACUAGCCGUUGGGAGCCUUGAGCUCUUAGUGGCGCAGCUAACGCAUUAAGUGACCGCCUGGGGAGUACGGUCGCAAGAUUAAACUCAAAGGAAUUGACGG